Molecule: long non-coding RNA, 726 nt
Organism: Oreochromis aureus
Lineage: Eukaryota; Metazoa; Chordata; Actinopteri; Cichliformes; Cichlidae
Source: Ensembl
UCAAUCGUGGAUCAGGGAAAGCGAAGGCAGGAGCGUGAGGUGAACUGAAUUUCAGACAUCCCAUAUUUAGCGACAGUGCUCUGACAACGUUGGUCCUGCCUGACAGCUAGCCGGCUACCUAGCUAGCUGCCGCACUUGGCUGCAAAUGGAUAGCGAGGGGACUCUCUCUGUCGUUUCAAUCGUGGAUCAGGGAAAGCGAAGGCAGGAGCGUGAGGUGAACUGAAUUUCAGUAUCAGCUGAUGUCGAUGUGGAAAAAAUAACUGAGUUGUUUGGUGGUGGAGCUACAACAGAGGGCAGCUAUCCACCGGUGUGUGACAGAAAGGACAUGCCGCGAACGAGACAUAAAAGGCGGUGAGGCUACCGCCGAUCGACCGGUGUUUGCUAACGCGGAGGUCAAUCGUGGAUCAGGGAAAGCGAAGGCAGGAGCGUGAGGUGAACUGAAUUUCAGGUAAGAAGUUAUGACCUGCACUCUAUUUGGGUCAGAUAUAAACCGAGUUUAGGUGUAGUUUGUUUUCAUUGUGCUGACUUUUACAAUCGUACUGCGUGCUAGCUAGCACGACAGGAGUUUGUAUACAGCUGUGUGCGCGCUAAGUUACUGACGUUGGACUUUAUUUUAUUCAUAAGGGUUAGUUCGUAGAGUUGCCGUACAAACGGAAUCGUGCCACAUUCAGAGAAAAUAUUACGAUUUAUUCUGUCGUUACGAAGCCUCCCCUGUCAUUCUCUGCC